This 249-nucleotide ribosomal RNA is filed under the name uncultured Mesorhizobium sp. RNAcentral's name for it is "partial 16S ribosomal RNA". It matches the Rfam family "Bacterial small subunit ribosomal RNA", at positions 90 to 356 of the family's 1533-position model. Lineage: Bacteria; Pseudomonadati; Pseudomonadota; Alphaproteobacteria; Hyphomicrobiales; Phyllobacteriaceae. The record is from RNAcentral.
CGUCAGUGGCAGACGGGUGAGUAACGCGUGGGAAUCUACCCAUCUCUACGGAACAACUCCGGGAAACUGGAGCUAAUACCGUAUACGUCCUUUUGGAGAAAGAUUUAUCGGAGAUGGAUGAGCCCGCGUUGGAUUAGCUAGUUGGUGGGGUAAUGGCCUACCAAGGCGACGAUCCAUAGCUGGUCUGAGAGGAUGAUCAGCCACACUGGGACUGAGACACGGCCCAGACUCCUACGGGAGGCAGCAGCG